Molecule: ribosomal RNA, 439 nt
Filed under: uncultured bacterium
Lineage: Bacteria
Description: partial 16S ribosomal RNA
Rfam family: Bacterial small subunit ribosomal RNA
Source: RNAcentral
CCUCGGGCGGCUCCAGUGAGGAAUAUUGCACAAUGGGGGGAACCCUGAUGCAGCAACGCCGCGUGGAGGAUGACGCAUUUCGGUGUGUAAACUCCUUUUAUAUGUCAAGAAAAUGACGGUAGCAUAUGAAUAAGCACCGGCUAACUCCGUGCCAGCAGCCGCGGUAAUACGGAGGGUGCAAGCAUUACUCGGAAUCACUGGGCGUAAAGGACGCGUAGGCGGGUUGGAAAGUCAGGUGUGAAAUCCUACAGCUUAACUGUAGAACUGCACUUGAAACUUCUAAUCUAGAGUAUGGGAGGGGGAGAUGGAAUUAGUGGUGUAGGGGUAAAAUCCGUAGAUAUCACUAGGAAUACCUAAAGCGAAGGCGAUCUCCUGGAACAUUACUGACGCUAAGGCGUGAAAGCGUGGGGAGCAAACAGGAUUAGAUACCCGGGUAGUC